GACGUAGGGUGCGAGCGUUGUCCGGAUUUAUUGGGCGUAAAGAGCUCGUAGGCGGCUCGUCGCGUCGACCGUGAAAACCCGCGGCUUAACUGCGGGCUUGCGGUUGAUACGGGCGGGCUAGAGUUUGGUAGGGGAGACUGGAAUUCCUGGUGUAGCGGUGAAAUGCGCAGAUAUCAGGAGGAACACCGGUGGCGAAGGCUGGUCUCUGGGCUGACACUGACGCUCAUGCACGAAAGCGUGGGGAGCAAACAGG
RNAcentral lists this ribosomal RNA (253 nucleotides) under uncultured bacterium. RNAcentral's name for it is "partial 16S ribosomal RNA". It matches the Rfam family "Bacterial small subunit ribosomal RNA", at positions 524 to 776 of the family's 1533-position model. The record is from RNAcentral.